UAUUAUAAUACAUGUAAAUUUGUAAUGAUGCUUGAGUAGUAAUAGUUAUGUUCUUGAAACUCAAAGAAUUUGGCGGUGUUUUAGUCCUUUCAGAGGAAUCUGUUCUGUAAUUGAUGAUACACAAUUAAUAUUUACCUUCUCUGAUUUAGUUUAUAUAUCGCCGUCAUAAGAUUAUCUUUAGGAGAGGUAAAAAUUUCUUUGUUUUUAAUUUGAAAAUAUGUCAGGUCAAGGUGUAGCUUAUGGGGAGGAAGAAAUGGAUUACAAUAAUUUUAAUUAUACGGAUAGUAUAGUGAUAAUUACUUGAAGGUGGAUUUGAUUGUAAAUUUAUUUAUAAUGGUUUUUUGAUUAGGGCUCUAAAAUGUGUACACAUCGCCCGUCGCUCUCGUUAUAAUAUGAG
This 397-nucleotide ribosomal RNA is filed under the name Phaeophilacris spectrum. RNAcentral's name for it is "partial 12S ribosomal RNA". Lineage: Eukaryota; Metazoa; Arthropoda; Insecta; Orthoptera; Phalangopsidae. The record is from RNAcentral.